CUAGCCGUAAACGAUGGAUACUAGGCGUUGAGAGGAUCGACCCUCGCAGUGCCGUAGCUAACGCGUUAAGUAUCCCGCCUGGGGAGUACGCGCGCAAGCGUGAAACUCAAAGGAAUUGACGGGGGCCCGCACAAGCGGUGGAGUAUGUGGUUUAAUUCGAUGCAACGCGAAGAACCUUACCAGGGCUUGACAUGUCCGGAACCCUGCCCAAAGGUGGGGGUGCCUACGGGAGCCGGGAACACAGGUGGUGC
RNAcentral lists this ribosomal RNA (251 nucleotides) under uncultured Chroococcidiopsis sp. Its description in RNAcentral is "partial 16S ribosomal RNA". It matches the Rfam family "Bacterial small subunit ribosomal RNA", at positions 796 to 1044 of the family's 1533-position model. The record is from RNAcentral. Lineage: Bacteria; Bacillati; Cyanobacteriota; Cyanophyceae; Chroococcidiopsidales; Chroococcidiopsidaceae.